This 202-nucleotide unclassified non-coding RNA is filed under the name uncultured fungus. RNAcentral describes it as "sequence contains ITS1". Lineage: Eukaryota; Fungi. The record is from RNAcentral.
GUAUAGUAGUGCGUGUGCACAACAAUAAUUUCAUUACAUUCGAGUGUGUGUAAAAUCCUCUGCCCGCCGAAGCUAGCAAGAGGCCAAAGGUUCACAGGGUUUGGAUGAAAAAGUCACCAACGUGCACUUGCCGAGGCCGGCCAGCACGGAAGGCAACGAUUCGCAAUCAAUAAUGAUCCUUCCGCAGGUUCACCUACGGAAA